This 330-nucleotide ribosomal RNA is filed under the name Triticum aestivum (bread wheat). Its description in RNAcentral is "partial small subunit ribosomal RNA". Lineage: Eukaryota; Viridiplantae; Streptophyta; Magnoliopsida; Poales; Poaceae. The record is from RNAcentral.
AUGUUGAAGAGAAGGCGAGAGAAAAGGACACACAUGCUCGAGUUGCCGAGGGAGCUUCUAGUUCCCACAUGGUACAGAAGAAGAACUCCCAGCCCAACAAGUUCAAAAACAACAAGAACAAAACUCAGGGCAAAGGCAAGUUUGAUACAAAGAACAAGCCGUCACAUGCUACCAACUUCAAAAAGAAUUCUCACAAGAAGGGGAAGGGACUUUGCCAUGUCUGCGGUGAUCCUAAUAACUGGGCUCCGAAGUGUCCUAACCGCUUUGAGGAGCGCGAACAUGAGAAGAGCGGCAAGUCCACUAAUACUGUCAUCAAUGAUACUGAUAUGA